GGACGCCCGAAUGAGCUCGUUUUCAGAUCGAGCUCCAUCGCUGCUAACCAGAUGCACCUGCGGGAAAACAGAAAAAAAAACUCAAGUACUGGACAACAGGAGAACAAUGAAUCUGACAUCUGAGACGAGCGGCUCUUGGCUGUCCAUAUGGGGCUAGAGAAAAUCUGUUCAUGAUUAUAAAGAAAUAAAGCCCACAGUUACUCUUCAGCUUAAAAGAAGGAAAUGUGCUCUGAAGACCAGCCUUUCAUUCGGUUAGCCGUUAAAAGGCUUGGCUUCCAGACAAGAAUAUGAAUGCUGUUUUGAAGUUGUCUUGGACACAAACUGAAUUCCUCCGAUCAAAGUGAGUUUCCAACACAUUAAAGCUGAUUAAAAAGCAAUGCU
Molecule: long non-coding RNA, 381 nt
Organism: Anguilla anguilla (European eel)
Lineage: Eukaryota; Metazoa; Chordata; Actinopteri; Anguilliformes; Anguillidae
Exons: 3
Source: RefSeq, a predicted model, not a curated record